This 254-nucleotide ribosomal RNA is filed under the name uncultured bacterium. RNAcentral's name for it is "partial 16S ribosomal RNA". It matches the Rfam family "Bacterial small subunit ribosomal RNA", at positions 524 to 776 of the family's 1533-position model. The record is from RNAcentral.
UACAGAGGUGCCAAGCGUUAGGCGGAAUCACUGGGCUUAAAGCGCGUGUAGGCGGGUCGUUAAGUGUCCGCGUGAAAUCCCACGGCUCAACCGUGGAACUGCCGGGCAUACUGGCGAUCUUGAGGCAUUCAGGGGCGAGUGGAACAAAUGGUGGAGCGGUGAAAUGCUUAGAUAUGACAUAGAACACCAAUUGCGAAGGCAGCUUACUACACAACUAUUGACUCUGAUGCACGAAAGCGUGGGGAGCAAACAGG